Molecule: long non-coding RNA, 318 nt
Filed under: Setaria viridis
Lineage: Eukaryota; Viridiplantae; Streptophyta; Magnoliopsida; Poales; Poaceae
Description: long non-coding RNA (SVIR_LNC000903)
Source: RNAcentral
GUGAAGUGGAUUGCAGGCUGGAAUGGAUGAUUUGGAGCACGUGAUGUGCUUAUAUAGUGGGGCACUGCUGCUAUGGUGCACGACAGUUCAAAUUUUGAAUGUCUAUGUAAUGGCACCACUUUUCUCUUUAUAAUGGUUCUAGAUUGGUGUGAUUUUUCUCUUCUGGGAGAUUCUGGAGUGUAAAUGAGGCACACAACUGUCUUAAGUUUAUUUUGAUGCUGGAGUGUAAACGUGACACACAACUGGCUUUCAAGUUUAUAUUUUAAACUGUGCAAUCAUUAACCUUUGAAUAGGGUAAUAAUAUCAUUUGCUAUCUAC